Molecule: long non-coding RNA, 547 nt
Filed under: Danio rerio (zebrafish)
Lineage: Eukaryota; Metazoa; Chordata; Actinopteri; Cypriniformes; Danionidae
Description: si:ch211-202p1.4 (ENSDARG00000096675.2)
Source: RNAcentral
GAGUAGUGGCUUGCUAUCAUCAUUAUUUGGGAGAGGAUUUGUUAUCUAUUUUAAAGGGGUCACAUCAAGUCUGACAGAACAACAAAUAAAGAUGAACCUGCGCUCCAGGCAGACAGAUGCUGGGUUAAGCGUUAACAAGAGUUUACUAGACAAUACUGCGCUUGUCCAACCGCUGGAGGCAGUUCUGACUGGAGCCCCACCCUUCAGCAGAGAAAUCCCGAGGAGACCCCCAAAAAGAAGACAAGCAAGACUGGGGGAAAUGGCUCUUUUUCAGUUUCUCUGAGCCAGAUCUCUGAUAAAGUGGUGUUAAGGGGACGGCACAAUGCUCUCAUUCUUUGCCAGUGGUGAGUAGCUUCAGGGCCUUCUGCAGAUUCUGGACGGCGGUGCCCACGUCCUCAUAUUGCAGUGCGCUGCCUGCGUAUUUACAGUAUUUCUGAGCCCGAGUGAAGUCUUCUGGUGUGAGCCGCACGUCACCUGCAAAGAAAAAAAAGUGUUCACUGUUUGUAUGUAAUGUGAAAGCAUUUUAAAUAAAGCCUAAUUGCGUGUG